UACAGAGGGUGCGAGCGUUAAUCGGAAUUACUGGGCGUAAAGCGCGCGUAGGCGGCUUUGCAAGUCGGGUGUGAAAUCCCCGGGCUCAACCUGGGAACUGCAUUUGUGACUGUAGAGCUGGAGUACGGCAGAGGGGGAUGGAAUUCCGCGUGUAGCAGUGAAAUGCGUAGAUAUGCGGAGGAACACCGAAGGCGAAGGCAAUCCCCUGGGCCUGUACUGACGCUCAUGCACGAAAGCGUAGGGAGCAAACAGG
This 253-nucleotide ribosomal RNA is filed under the name uncultured bacterium. Its description in RNAcentral is "partial 16S ribosomal RNA". It matches the Rfam family "Bacterial small subunit ribosomal RNA", at positions 524 to 776 of the family's 1533-position model. The record is from RNAcentral.